This 465-nucleotide ribosomal RNA is filed under the name uncultured bacterium. Its description in RNAcentral is "partial 16S ribosomal RNA". It matches the Rfam family "Bacterial small subunit ribosomal RNA", at positions 28 to 507 of the family's 1533-position model. The record is from RNAcentral.
GACGAACGCUGGCGGCGUGCUUAACACAUGCAAGUCGAACGGAAAGGCCCUGCUUGCAGGGUACUCGAGUGGCGAACGGGUGUGUAACUCGUUUGUGAUCUGCCCUUCACUUCUGGUUAAGCCUUUGAAACUGGGUCUAAUACCUGAUAGUAGCCAUUUUUAGUGUGAUGGUUGGUAAGUUUUUUCGGUGUAGGAUGAGCUCGCUUCCUAUCAUCUUGUUGGUGGGGUAAUGGCCUACCAAGGCGGCGACGGGUAGCCGGCCUGAGAGGGUGGACGGCCACAUUGGGACUGAGAUACGGCACAGACACCUACGGGAGGAAGAAGUGGGGAAUAUUGCACAAUGGGCGCAAGCCUGAUGCAGCGACGCCGCGUGGGGGAUGACGGCCUUCGGGUUGUAAACUACUUUCGCUAGGGACGAAGCUUUUUGUGACGGUACCUAGAUAAGAAGCACCGGCUAACUACGUG